UUAAUUAUAGUAUGCCAUUUUUGCCCAUGAGUUCAUCAAGCUUUCUCUCUCUUCCAUCUUCCCACUUUUGAAGAAAGACAAUCCCAGAAUAAUCAAUCAGUCACUUGCACUCAGCAACAAUCACCUUCAAAUAAAGUUUACUCCUUUAUCACAUCCUUGUGUCGUCUCACUCAAUUAUAUCUUCUCAUCAAAGAACCUUCACUGUACUUGAGGCCCAAGAUCUCACUGAAAAUUUCGUCCCCCAGUCUGCAAAACUCGCCUAUAAAAUCAACGGAACCAAAUUCGAGGGAGGAUAGAAUACGCAAGGAAGGAGUCUGAAACUCUGACUUGGGCUAUUCUACUCCACCCUAUCCGUUCAAAUUUCGUAGAGAGUAUUGGAUUAAAGUUGUGGGCACAGUUGUCAUGCUGAAUGUUGCUUCCAGCCACAGGAGUAGGGAUGAAUUCUGCAAUGGAUGAUAUGAAUUUGAUUCAGCAAGCGCAGAGGCAUCAUUUGGUUGUGAGGGAGAUAGGUGAAGAGAUUGAUUUAGAAAUUGGACCUGGGGAUGAUGAUCCUUCUUUUGGUAAUGCAACUCUAAUUGGUGCUCCUCCAAGAGAAUCUUCUGCUGAAGAGCAUGGUGAGAGCAAGCAAAUGGGGAUGGGUUCUCAGCUUCCUAAUGAUGAUCAGGAGAUGUCAAAGACACAACCUGUGAAGAGGAAGAAGAAGGUUGUGAAAAGAUGGAGGGAGGAGUGGGCAGACACCUACAAAUGGGCCUAUGUUGAUGUAAAAGAUGGGACAGCAAGGAUUUUCUGCUCUGUCUGCAGGGAGUAUGGCAGAAAGCAUAGAAGAAACCCUUAUGGAAAUGAGGGCAGUAGGAAUAUGCAAAUGAGUGCCUUAGAAGAACACAAUAAUAGUUUGCUUCACAAAGAGGCUCUUCGUCUCCAAAUGGCCUCCAAGGAUAAAAUUAUUGUCGACAAGCCCAUUUAUGUCAAAGCUCUUAUGUCAAAAACAGCGGGAUCAAUUGUUGAAGCUGCACUAAAAAGGGAUCCUCAUGAGGUUGAAUUCAUUCAGUCAGUCCAGGAAGUAGUUCAUGCUCUUGAAAGAGUAAUUGCCAAAAAUUCACAUUAUGUCAGCAUCAUGGAGCGCUUGUUGGAACCAGAACGCAUGAUUAUUUUCAGAGUUCCGUGGGUUGAUGAUAGGGGUGAGACCCAUGUUAACCGGGGUUUUCGGGUACAAUAUAACCAGUCCCUGGGUCCAUGCAGGGGUGGUAUUCGUUUUCAUCCGUCAAUGAAUUUAAGUAUUGCUAAGUUCCUUGGUUUUGAACAGACUUUAAAGAAUGCCUUAUCACCUUACAAAUUAGGAGGGGCAGCUGGUGGAAGUGAUUUUGAUCCAAAAGGAAAAAGUGAUAAUGAGGCCAUGCGCUUCUGCCAAAGCUAUAUGAAUGAGAUGUAUCGAUACUUUGGUCCUGACAAGGACCUUCCAUCAGAGGAGAUGGGUGUUGGUACUCGAGAAAUGGGAUAUCUCUUUGGACAGUAUAGACGACUAGCUGGUCAUUUUCAGGGAAGUUUCACAGGGCCGAGGAUAUUUUGGUCUGGCUCUAGUCUUCGAACUGAAGCUACUGGCUAUGGCCUGGUUUUCUUUGCUCAGCUUAUACUCGCUGACAUGAAUAAAGAACUCAAAGGAUUAAGAUGUGUCAUAAGCGGUUCUGGAAAGAUUGCAUUGCAUGUUUUAGAGAAGUUGAUUGCUUAUGGGGCUCUUCCCAUCACAGUUUCAGAUUCAAGAGGAUAUUUGGUUGAUGAGGAUGGAUUUGAUUACAUGAAAGUCUCUUUCUUGAGAGAUAUCAAAGCUCAACAGAGGAGUCUGAGAGACUAUUCAAAGACCUAUGCUCGAUCCAAAUAUUAUGAUGAAGCGAAACCCUGGAAUGAAAGGUGUGAUAUUGCAUUUGCUUGUGCUUCCCAGAAUGAAAUUGAUCAGUCUGAUGCAAUCAAUUUGGUUAAUUCAGGAUGUCGUAUGCUAGUAGAAGGUUCAAGCAUGCCCUGUACACCUGAGGCAGUUGAUGUUCUGAGGAAAGCUAAUGUUCUCAUUGCUCCUGCUAUGGCUGCCGGUGCUGGAGGGGUUGUGGCUGGAGAACUUGAAUUAAAUCAUCAGUGCAAUUUGAUGCACUGGUCACCAGAGGAUUUUGAAUCUAAAUUGCAGUCAAAGUGGCCAUUUUCUUUGGCAGGAAGCAAUGAAACAGACUUAUCAAAGAGCCAUCAAAGCAGCUUCUGAUUUUGGUUAUCAAAAAGAAAGUCCCGAGUGGAGAAGGAAGUGAUGCUCGUUGCUGGUGGUUACAUGACGUGAGAAGCUGGGAUCAAAGAAGCUUGAGAGACAAAGCGAGUUGUGCAUCGAUGCAUCAAUCGCUAUCACGGCUGCCCAACGGUAGUGAACAUUGGAGGUGGAUGCGCCGGAGGGGAGACAUGAGUCAUGAUUCGCAGCUUACAUGUGCGGGUAGUGAGGGCUUUAGUGCAUGGAGCUGUUAUUUCUGCAUUUCUGACCAUUGCUCAAGCCAUGACUGAUCAAGGAUGUGUAUAGGAAUUGAUACUGACAAAACUUGAAUGCUUCUCAUUGCUUGAUAUUCAUCUUGCUUCUGGUCGCUACAAGCUUGAAGAUAAAUGCUGGCUCUGCAAUCUCAAUGUCAUGCAGGACCUUGUACUUAGAAGGAGCUGAUUUGAUUGUAAAAUAUGCAUUGUAAUAAUUUUAUACUUGAGAGAAAUAUAAAUCUUAGAGAACAAAUUGGAAUAGGCAUGUGUAAGAAAAUCUAUAAUGUAUGGUUUAGAUGUAUAACAGAAAGAGUGGCCUUUGAUUAAUGCCAGGAAUGAGAAAUAUUUGUUCGUGGCUUAUCCAAAUGCUUGCAAGUUUCAGACUUUGGAAAGAUAAGGACGUUGUAUUAGAGAUAGAAUAUUAGGAUUGAAUUUGAUUAUUGUAUUGUGUGUUCAAUCAUAAGUAGGUUCAAUGCUGAAUAUGCUCUCAGCAGUACAGCUAAUAUUUUUUACAUUUUUAUAUUGAUAUUGAAGAUUUGAAUA
Molecule: RNA transcript, 3039 nt
Organism: Prosopis cineraria
Lineage: Eukaryota; Viridiplantae; Streptophyta; Magnoliopsida; Fabales; Fabaceae
Exons: 17
Source: RefSeq, a predicted model, not a curated record